RNAcentral lists this ribosomal RNA (484 nucleotides) under uncultured bacterium. RNAcentral's name for it is "partial 16S ribosomal RNA". It matches the Rfam family "Bacterial small subunit ribosomal RNA", at positions 30 to 507 of the family's 1533-position model. The record is from RNAcentral.
AUUGAACGCUGGCAGCAGGCCUAACACAUGCAAGUCGAGCGGAUGAAGGGAGCUUGCUCCUGGAUUCAGCGGCGGACGGGUGAGUAAUGCCUAGGAAUCUGCCUGGUAGUGGGGGAUAACGUCCGGAAACGGGCGCUAAUACCGCAUACGUCCUGAGGGAGAAAGUGGGGGAUCUUCGGACCUCACGCUAUCAGAUGAGCCUAGGUCGGAUUAGCUAGUUGGUGGGGUAAAGGCCUACCAAGGCGACGAUCCGUAACUGGUCUGAGAGGAUGAUCAGUCACACUGGAACUGAGACACGGUCCAGACUCCUACGGGAGGCAGCAGUGGGGAAUAUUGGACAAUGGGCGAAAGCCUGAUCCAGCCAUGCCGCGUGUGUGAAGAAGGUCUUCGGAUUGUAAAGCACUUUAAGUUGGGAGGAAGGGCAGUAAGUUAAUACCUUGCUGCUUUGACGUUACCAACAGAAUAAGCACCGGCUAACUUCGUG